CCUCCCGUUCUGUUGCACUUAAGUCCAGAUUAGCUCUGACCAUUCCCUCACGCAAGCAGAGAGCGACACAACACCACGGUGCCCAAGACCAUAGAAACUGCCACAGAGGUGGGGGCAGAGAUCGUCUUCAAGGUUGCUGUCAUCUGGAAUUUUAUGUCCUUCAUUUUCUUUCACUCUGUAUGCCUGUCACAUCGGCUUAACUACCAGAGAAGACCCCGUCUGCCUUAAAGCCUGCCUGCUUUCUUCCAGCCUUAUUAGCUGAUGUAAAGAAAGAAGAUACGACUUCCUACACUCCUGGGUAGUACUCUGCCUGUCAUCUUGGAGAUCAGAAAGACUGCAGAGCUUUCUGGGAAGAAUCCUUCUUUUGUUUUUAUGUCUGCACUCCAAGCCCUGUAAUUAAUGCUGCACAAGCACAGAUAUGCAUAACUCUUACAAGUGACUAUUUUUCAGUAUCGAUGCCAAAAAUGCAACCUAUUGGGAUUUGUGUUUUUAAGCCGCAUAGCAGAGGCUGAUCAGCACUGUGUCCGCAGUCUGGAGGCAAACGCCUGCGCUUAUACAGGCAAAUUACAGGUCUGGAUGAACAGCGAGAACAAGCUCUUCAUUCCUGCAGGAUUUUCUUUACUGCCAGGGCUGGUUCUAUAAAAUACGACCUUCAAAUGGAGGGGAGGCCUAAUCCUAUUCUGAGUUACGCGUGCCUAAUUUCAAAGCUUUAUGCUUGGGCACUAUCCACAUUGAGACAGAUACCGCAUGUUGCUCACUCUUCCUCCUCUUCACACGCUUUUAUCGCUGAGAUGCAGUUCUACAAAAUUGCUUUAGAAAGCAGUAGUUUGAGAGACUGUAUCCCCGUUUCCUCCAGUAAAGCGUAGCCGUAUGGACAUUACAAACACUAUCAUUUCUUUUUGUCUUUCCUCUUCUUGGAAACGUUGGUUUCUAAUGGGUUAAAAAUCUGCUGUUAAGCACUGGCCAUUUUAAGGUGUAUUCUUCUCCCCUGCUGAUUUGCCCUCUGACCUUCUGGGGGCCAGGGCGGCUGCAGACUUCAUUUUUACUCUAUUUCCUGGUCUCUCUCCUGGCUGUGCACUCAAUGUUUCCACAGCAGAUUAAUGACAGCUAAUAAUAUCUGAUAUAUCUGGACAUUGCCACAUAAUGAGUUGCAGUCCCACUGGGUCCCCGAAGUGUCACUACUAACAAAUUCACCAGAGCUGCACAUAAUUAGCAUGUAAAGGGAGUGAUCAUGCAGUAAAUCUGGAGGGGAAGAUGGAUAGCCCAUGAGAAAAAAAAUAUAAGGAAAAAAUACUGUUCUUAACACUCAUUGGUAAAUGUAUGUUUCUCGCCAUGAAUAUUUUCUUGAUAACAAACUGUGGACAGGUUACCUUUACAGUAACAUUAUUCCUUCCACGGCUGAUAGGCAGAAUUUCAUUAUGCCACUGCUAAUGUUACAAUAUUUCUGCAAAAUGUCACCAUAUGUAAAUUAGAAGAGGUUAGGGUUUCUGUCUUAGUUUUCUUUCAAGAUGCACUGUCCCUUUCUGCUAUGGCCUAAUUGCCCCUUCUACUAGUUUACAGACAUGCUAACAUUGACCCAACCUCGCAAAAUACAGUCUGCACUGGAGGAUCUUCCUUCUCCACUAGCUAAAUCAGAAUGAAGAAACUCAACAUGUGACGACAGAGGGAGCAAAGACCCAAGAGUAGAAAGUAGCUUACUUGAUGAGGUUUUAUCCAAAGUACCAUCUUUCCUGACACAUCAGAAAAUACCAAAAAAAGAAAAACGGGGUGCACGGACAAUGUGAGUUACCUGACCUGAUCUGAACACGGGUCUCUACCUUGCGACCACCUGGCUGCCCAUCACACACUAAGUGCUGCCUGCAGUCUGGAUCUGUGCAGGCAAAGAGGCUUUCCCAGGAGAAGGAGGUUGACAAGGAGCAGAUGAAUUGUCCUGAUGGGCUGUAUUCACCCUGAAGAGCCCUGAACUGGGCAUCUCUGCUCUAUUUUAAGUCAUUCAUUCCUCCUCAUUAGAAACCAUUGCUCACCAAUGCUAAAGACUUCAUUUUGGUUUGAGGCUGUGUCAUUUACAGGCCUUUUGCUGCUUUGACAUCUGGGUGGAAACGCUUGCAUUUACAUGACUCCCAGCUCUGAGGUUUAUUUGGGCAACUGGCCAAAACGUGGUUAAUUCAAAGUGUAAGGUUUUUUUAAAAAUUAUUAUUAUUAUUUUGCUGAACAGAGAGGCCUUCGGCCCUGAAGGCUUCAGCCUUUAAAUUGUUCUUGUUCAUAAGGCGCUGCUUCUGCCCUUUGAGAGGGAAAAAAGUUAACAAGGAAGCCUCACUUCCAAAACCAAACCCAAAUCCCCAAAAAACAAACAAAAAGUUCUGUAUAUAACACAUAAAUUUUCCCAUGAUAAAUAAUUAUUUAGAGAUGUGAAAAAUUCAUAAGGGCUUACUCUAAUCUCUGUAGCCGCCUUCUGCAGAGCAAGAGCUCAGCCAGGAGAGCCUUGUGAUCCUCAGGCUGAGCAAGCACGAGCUGACUCAGAACCAAUUUUAUAUCAAAGGCAGAAAUGGCACAGAGCUCGGGUACCAGCCCCUGUUUGUGAUGCUCAUGAGCACUAUCAAUAAACCUCAGCACUUUUAAGAGUGUGAACUGCUACUCAGCAGUGCAGGGAAACACCCUGGAAGUAGCAGCUGCUCCUGUCCACUAUUGCAUUCCUCUUCCUGUCAUUAGCCAAGUGCUCAUGAGCCCCUCGGAUCAGCUCGGAAGCUCUGAAAAUUUCUGUAUUCGCAACUCAUACUGAAUUUCAUGCUGGCUCAUGUUCUGUUGGAGAAUCACCUUUUGGAGUCACGUGACUUUAGCUUUUAUCCUUUUUUUUAAAAAG
Molecule: long non-coding RNA, 2860 nt
Organism: Harpia harpyja (harpy eagle)
Lineage: Eukaryota; Metazoa; Chordata; Aves; Accipitriformes; Accipitridae
Exons: 3
Source: RefSeq, a predicted model, not a curated record